UUUUAAACACUUUGGGUGCAACAUGUAUUCUAUAUUAAACGCACGUGACACUUGAAACUUAUUUGAAACAUGCUCUAUCCAUUUAAACAUGAAACAUGAAACUUGUGAUACUUGAGACUAUUUUGUGCUAUGUGAACGUUUAAUCCCUGUGUGUAGUUCCGCCUUAACAAUAGUAGCGCUAUAGGGGUAAUGCACCUCCCCCAUUUGUAGUCGAGGGGUAUUGUUAGGAGGAGACAUAUUAACCUCCCGUGAAACUUUGGGUUAGGGUUUUGAAGGAACCCUUCUUGUGCUCCUGAUGAUGUACUUUAACGCAUUGGAAACUUGGGCUAUCACUUGGACUGCGUAAACUAGCAUGGCUGAAACUAUUUUAUUAUGUUCAUGUUGGAUAUGAGUUUUUAUUCUAUUAUGCUAU
This 412-nucleotide long non-coding RNA is filed under the name Helianthus annuus (common sunflower). RNAcentral's name for it is "hypothetical non coding rna". The record is from RNAcentral. Lineage: Eukaryota; Viridiplantae; Streptophyta; Magnoliopsida; Asterales; Asteraceae.